RNAcentral lists this long non-coding RNA (319 nucleotides) under Capsella rubella. RNAcentral describes it as "long non-coding RNA (CRUB_LNC001509)". Lineage: Eukaryota; Viridiplantae; Streptophyta; Magnoliopsida; Brassicales; Brassicaceae. The record is from RNAcentral.
AAGAAGAGUUUUUUUUAGGAUGAUGAAAAGUGACAGGGGAGAAGAAGUAGUAGAAGACAGAUUGGUGCAGAAGAUUUUGAUAUAUAUAUUAGUUGUUGACGCGCGCUCAGUUUAAUAUUUUAUUUAUUAUUUUAUUAUUUUUUUAUAAUUUUUUUAAUUAGAUAUUUUCUGAUUUUUUUUGUUUUUCUUUUCUGUUUUUGUUACAAUUUCAAGCGUUUAACAAUAAUCAUGUAAAUUCUUAACAAAAAAAAAGAAGACAAUAAUCACGUAAAUCACUUUAUACAGUUAUUGAAAAUUCUUAAAGAUGAAUGUUUAAAAC